Chlorocebus sabaeus (green monkey) is the source of this 666-nucleotide non-coding RNA. The record is from RefSeq and is a predicted model, not a curated record. Lineage: Eukaryota; Metazoa; Chordata; Mammalia; Primates; Cercopithecidae.
UUCAAGGCUGCAGUAAGCUGUGGUCACGCCACUGCACUCCAGCCUGGGUGACGGAGCGAGACCCUGUCUCAAAGAAAAAAAAAAAAUUAUCGACCUUAAAAUAGGGAGAUUAUCCAAGUGGGCCCAGAGUAAUCAAAUAGACAUUUAACAGUGGAAAUGGAAGACAGAAGGGUAGGUCAGAGAGAGGGAUGAUGGAAGAAGUAACAGGAAUGAUUCAAAAUGGGAGAGGGACUUCACCCACUAUUGCAGGCUCUGAAGAAAAGGGGAUCAUGAGCCAAGGAACGAAGGCAGCCUUCAGAAGCUAGAAAUGACCCUGAGCUAAUGGACAACAAGGAAAGAAGACUUUGAUCCUUUAACUGCAAAGCACUGAACUCUGCCAACAACUAAACAAACAAGGAAAUGGAUUUGCCCCCCAACCCAAAACCUCCAUAAAGGAAUGCAUUCCUGCCAGCACCUUGAAUUUAGCCCAGGUCCCAAGAGUAUCUACAGAAAAAUACAAAUUGUUGAGAAGAGCUACCAUCUCUGAAAGGCCCAUAUCAGAAAGAGUUCCAUCUAUCUGACAUCCUCCUACCUUCAUACUCCCCAGCAAAGACACAGCUGUCCACUUGCAGAAUGGGCCUCUCAGUGUCAAUGCCCUACAACGGAAUAAAGGAUCAUAAAAAAAAA